GACGAACGCUGGCGGCGUGCUUAACACAUGCAAGUCGAACGGAAAGGCCCUGCUGUUGUGGGGUGCUCGAGUGGCGAACGGGUGAGUAACACGUGAGUAACCUGCCCUUGACUUUGGGAUAACUUCAGGAAACUGGGGCUAAUACCGGAUAGGAGCUCCUGCUGCAUGGUGGGGGUUGGAAAGUUUCGGCGGUUGGGGAUGUACUCGCGGCUUAUCAGCUUGUUGGUGGGGUAGUGGCUUACCAAGGCUUUGACGGGUAGCCGGCCUGAGAGGGUGACCGGCCACAUUGGGACUGAGAUACGGCCCAGACUCCUACGGGAGGCAGCAGUGGGGAAUAUUGCACAAUGGGCGGAAGCCUGAUGCAGCAACGCCGCGUGCGGGAUGACGGCCUUCGGGUUGUAAACCGCUUUCGCCUGUGACGAAGCGUGAGUGACGGUAAUGGGUAAAGAAGCACCGGCUAACUACGUG
RNAcentral lists this ribosomal RNA (468 nucleotides) under uncultured bacterium. Its description in RNAcentral is "partial 16S ribosomal RNA". It matches the Rfam family "Bacterial small subunit ribosomal RNA", at positions 28 to 507 of the family's 1533-position model. The record is from RNAcentral.